GAUCAUGGCUCAGGAUGAACGCUAGCUACAGGCUUAACACAUGCAAGUCGAGGGGCAGCAUUUUAGUUUGCUUGCAAACUAAAGAUGGCGACCGGCGCACGGGUGAGUAACACGUAUCCAACCUGCCGAUAACUCUGGGAUAGCCUUUCGAAAGGAAGAUUGAUACCGGGAUGGCAUAGGAUUAUCGCAUGAUAAUCCUAUUAAAGAAUUUCGGUUAUCGAUGGGGAUGCGUUCCA
Molecule: ribosomal RNA, 236 nt
Filed under: uncultured bacterium
Lineage: Bacteria
Description: partial 16S ribosomal RNA
Rfam family: Bacterial small subunit ribosomal RNA
Source: RNAcentral